CAGCCGCCGCGGUAAUACGUAGGUGGCGAGCGUUGUCCGGAAUUACUGGGCGUAAAGAGCGCGUAGGCGGUUUUUUAAGUCAGAUGUGAAAAUCCAGGGCUUAACUCUGGGCGUGCAUUUGAAACUGGGGAACUAGAGUGCAGGAGAGGUAAGUGGAAUUCCUAGUGUAGCGGUGAAAUGCGUAGAUAUUAGGAGGAACACCAGUGGCGAAGGCGACUUACUGGACUGUAACUGACGCUGAGGCGCGAAAGCGUGGGUAGCGAACAGGAUUAGAUACCCUGGUAGUCCACGCCGUAAACGAUGGAUACUAGGUGUGGGAGGUAUCGACCCCUUCCGUGCCGCAGUAAACGCAAUAAGUAUCCCGCCUGGGGAGUACGGCCGCAAGGUUGAAACUCAAAGGAAUUGACGGGGGCCCGCACAAGCAGCGGAGCAUGUGGUUUAAUUCGAAGCAACGCGAAGAACCUUACCAGGACUUGACAUCCCCUGCAUAACUCGUAACGGAGGAAGUCCUUCGGGACAGGGAGACAGGAGGUGCAUGGCC
This 541-nucleotide ribosomal RNA is filed under the name uncultured archaeon. RNAcentral's name for it is "bacterial SSU rRNA". It matches the Rfam family "Bacterial small subunit ribosomal RNA", at positions 509 to 1050 of the family's 1533-position model. The record is from RNAcentral.